AGAGUUUGAUCCUGGCUCAGAGCGAACGCUGGCGGUAUGCUUUACACAUGCAAGUCGAGCGCGAAAGUGACUUCGGUCACGAGUAGAGCGGCGGACGGGUGCGUAACACGUGGAUAAUCUGCCUUUAGGACUGGGAUAACUCAGGGAAACUUGGGCUAAUACCGGAUAAGACCACGGUUUCUACGGAAACAGUGGUAAAAGGGGGCUCUCGGGCUUUCACCUAAAGAUGAGUCCGCGCACCAUCAGGUAGUUGGUGAGGUAAUGGCUCACCAAGCCUAAGACGGUUAGCCGACCUUAGCGGGUGAUCGGCCACACGGGGACUGAGACACGGCCCCGACUCCUACGGGAGGCAGCAGUGGGGAAUAUUGGACAAUGGGCGAAAGCCUGAUCCAGCAAUACCGCGUGAGGGAUGAAGGCCUUCGGGUCGUAAACCUCUGUCAGUUGGAACGAUGGGUUCUGUAGGUAAUAUCUGCAGAACUUGACGGUACCUUCAAAGGAAGCCCCGGCUAACUCCGUGCCAGCAGCCGCGGUAAUACGGAGGGGGGCGAGCGUUGCUCGGAAUUACUGGGCGUAAAGGGUCCGCACGUGGCUUUGUAAGUUAGAUGUGAAAUCUUAGGGCUUAACCCUGAAACUGCAUCUAAAACUGCUUAGCUUGAGUACAGGAGAGGUUGGCGGAAUUCCCGGU
This 685-nucleotide ribosomal RNA is filed under the name uncultured bacterium. RNAcentral describes it as "bacterial SSU rRNA". It matches the Rfam family "Bacterial small subunit ribosomal RNA", at positions 8 to 674 of the family's 1533-position model. The record is from RNAcentral.